This 680-nucleotide ribosomal RNA is filed under the name Clostridioides difficile. RNAcentral's name for it is "bacterial LSU rRNA". It matches the Rfam family "Bacterial large subunit ribosomal RNA", at positions 662 to 1350 of the family's 2925-position model. The record is from RNAcentral. Lineage: Bacteria; Bacillati; Bacillota; Clostridia; Peptostreptococcales; Peptostreptococcaceae.
GGAGCCGUAGCGAAAGCGAGUUUUAACUGAGCGUUCAGUUACUUGACGUAGACCCGAAACCGGGCGACCUACCCAUGAGCAGGAUGAAGCGAAAGUAAAAUUUCGUGGAGGUACGAACCCACGAGCGUUGAAAAGCUCGGGGAUGACUUGUGGGUAGCGGUGAAAUUCCAAUCGAGCCCGGAGAUAGCUGGUUCUCCCCGAAAUAGCUUUAGGGCUAGCCUCAAGGUGAGGGAUACGGAGGUAGAGCACUGAAUGUCCUAGGGGGUAUUGCACCUACCGAAGACUAUCAAACUCCGAAUGCCGUCAUCUUAUACUUGGGAGUCAGACUGUGGGUGAUAAGAUUCAUAGUCGAAAGGGCAACAGCCCAGAUCGUCAGCUAAGGUCCCUAAAUGUAAGUUAAGUGGUAAAGGAUGUGGGAUUGCACAGACAACCAGGAUGUUGGCUUAGAAGCAGCCACUCAUUCAAAGAGUGCGUAAUAGCUCACUGGUCGAGUGAUCCUGCGCCGAAGAUUUCCGGGGCUAAAACUUACUACCGAAGCUACGGCAUCAGUAAUGAUGGGUAGGGGAGCUUCCCAUACGGGUUGAAGCAUGACCGUAAGGACAUGUGGACAGUAUGGGAGUGAGAAUGUUGGCAUGAGUAGCGAGAUGUGGGUGAGAAUCCCACAGGCCGUAAACCCAAGG